Molecule: unclassified non-coding RNA, 240 nt
Filed under: soil metagenome
Description: partial contains 5.8S ribosomal RNA, internal transcribed spacer 2, and large subunit ribosomal RNA
Source: RNAcentral
AACAUCGCGCACCUGCGGGAACCUGCGGAAGGAUCAUUAAUGAUUGGUGGCUGUUGCUGACUAGUGUUUCUAGUAUGUGCACGCCACACCUUCAAUCCCACUUACACCUGUGCACCUUCUGUAGUAGAUCUAUGUGGAUACGGAGAUGUGAAAGUUUGCGCUCUCCUACUCUGUUGAAGCAGUCUACUACGUUUUUUUACACACACACACACAAUAGUCAUUGAAUGUAUUUUUUAUUCU